UUUACGCUAAGGGCCUCAAAAAGGAUCGGGGCCUUUCAAAUAGGUUCCUUGCCGGCCGGUAGCGUCUCCGGCGAAAUCGCCGGUGAGCAGCGGCGCUACCGGGGAAAAGGAGGGCACGAGUGUGAUGUGUGGCUCACCGUGGGUCUUUGCGCUUAGGGGCUCAAGGGCGGAGGAGGUCCGGCGGUGGCGGUUCACGGUGGGGAAGAAACGGCGGCGAUAGAGCUUCUGCG
Molecule: long non-coding RNA, 230 nt
Filed under: Setaria viridis
Lineage: Eukaryota; Viridiplantae; Streptophyta; Magnoliopsida; Poales; Poaceae
Description: long non-coding RNA (SVIR_LNC004043)
Source: RNAcentral